Molecule: ribosomal RNA, 408 nt
Filed under: uncultured organism
Description: bacterial LSU rRNA
Rfam family: Bacterial large subunit ribosomal RNA
Source: RNAcentral
GGACAGAAAGACCCUAUGAAGCUUUACUGUAGCCUGGAAUAGGGUUCGGGCUGUGUUUGCGCAGGAUAGGUGGGAGGCGUUGAAGGUUUUCUUGUGGGAAAACUGGAGCCAACGGUGAGAUACCACUCUAACACAGCUAGAAUUCUAACCUACGCCCAUGAUCUGGGGUAGGGACGGUUUCAGGUGGGCAGUUUGACUGGGGCGGUCGCCUCCUAAAUGGUAACGGAGGCGUACAAAGGUUCCCUCAGCCUGGUUGGAAAUCAGGCGCAGAGUGCAAAGGCAUAAGGGAGCUUGACUGCGAGACCUACAAGUCGAGCAGGGUGGAAACACGGUCUUAGUGAUCUGACGGCACUGAGUGGAAGGGCCGUCGCUCAACGGAUAAAAGUUACUCUAGGGAUAACAGGCUGA